AGUUCUUUCGGUAUGACACAACAUCCUGCCGCGAUGUUGUGCGACCUGCAGUGUCAACCGAAAGUACA
Sclerotinia sclerotiorum is the source of this 68-nucleotide small RNA. It matches the Rfam family "bZIP non canonical Hac1/Xbp1 intron". From Rfam's summary of the family: bZIP intron RNA is a non-canonical intron that was first reported in HAC1 gene in yeast and XBP1 gene in Metazoa. NCBI's taxonomy places the organism in Eukaryota, Fungi, Ascomycota, Leotiomycetes, Helotiales, Sclerotiniaceae. The record is from Rfam.